Molecule: long non-coding RNA, 445 nt
Organism: Humulus lupulus (European hop)
Lineage: Eukaryota; Viridiplantae; Streptophyta; Magnoliopsida; Rosales; Cannabaceae
Exons: 2
Source: RefSeq, a predicted model, not a curated record
ACAGUUAAGUGUCCUCGUCAACCAUUACAAUCAGUACAAUGUGGGUUCUAUGUUAUGAGGAUGAUGAAGGACUUCGUGACAAAUGAGUUUUCAAUGCGAUGGCUAACUAGUAAUUGUGGCGGGAAGAACUAUUACACAAAGGAUGAGAUCAAUGAAGUACGUGAAGAAUGGGCACAAUGCGUCAUGGAUUUGAUGAGUACUACAUAGGUCCACUCACUUUUGUUAACUUAGACUUUUAAUGAGAUAUACUUACAAUGUUAACUUAGACUUUCUUGAAGAUAUACACUUUUGUUGCCUAACUAUAGUUUACAAUGCUUAUGUGAGUCAUUUUGUAAUUAACUUAAGACUCGUUAUUUUAGAUACUUAGUUCAAAUUCUAGUAUUUUAUAUUAUUGUGAUAUAUGUUUUGUUUUGUUCAGUUUGUUUGUAUAAAAAAACAUGAUUUG